RNAcentral lists this ribosomal RNA (198 nucleotides) under uncultured bacterium. Its description in RNAcentral is "partial 16S ribosomal RNA". It matches the Rfam family "Bacterial small subunit ribosomal RNA", at positions 328 to 539 of the family's 1533-position model. The record is from RNAcentral.
ACGCUCGACACCUACGGGAGGCUGCAGUGGGGAAUAUUGCACAAUGGGGGAAACCCUGAUGCAGCAACGCCGCGUGAAGGAAGACGGUUUUCGGAUUGUAAACUUCUGUUCUUAGUGAAGAUAGUGACGGUAGCUAAGGAGCAAGCCACGGCUAACUACGUGCCUGCAGCCGCGGUAAUCUGAGCGGGCUGGCAAGGC